RNAcentral lists this ribosomal RNA (999 nucleotides) under uncultured bacterium. RNAcentral describes it as "bacterial SSU rRNA". It matches the Rfam family "Bacterial small subunit ribosomal RNA", at positions 355 to 1375 of the family's 1533-position model. The record is from RNAcentral.
UGGGGAAUAUUGCACAAUGGGGGAAACCCUGAUGCAGCAACGCCGCGUGAAGGAAGAAGGUCUUCGGAUUGUAAACUUCUUUUGUCAGGGACGAAGAAAGUGACGGUACCUGACGAAUAAGCUCCGGCUAACUACGUGCCAGCAGCCGCGGUAAUACGUAGGGAGCGAGCGUUGUCCGGAUUUACUGGGUGUAAAGGGUGCGUAGGCGGCCGAGCAAGUCAGUUGUGAAAACUAUGGGCUUAACCCAUAACGUGCAAUUGAAACUGUCCGGCUUGAGUGAAGUAGAGGUAGGCGGAAUUCCCGGUGUAGCGGUGGAAUGCGUAGAUAUCGGGAGGAACACCAGUGGCGAAGGCGGCCUACUGGGCACCAACUGACGCUGAGGCUCGAAAGUGUGGGUAGCAAACAGGAUUAGAUACCCUGGUAGUCCAUGCCGUAAACGAUGAUUACUAGGUGUUGGAGGAUUGACCCCUUCAGUGCCGCAGUUAACACAAUAAGUAAUCCACCUGGGGAGUACGACCGCAAGGUUGAAACUCAAAGGAAUUGACGGGGGCCCGCACAAGCAGUGGAGUAUGUGGUUUAAUUCGAAGCAACGCGAAGAACCUUACCAGGUCUUGACAUCCGAUGCAUAGUGCAGAGAUGCAUGAAGUCCUUCGGGACAUCGAGACAGGUGGUGCAUGGUUGUCGUCAGCUCGUGUCGUGAGAUGUUGGGUUAAGUCCCGCAACGAGCGCAACCCUUAUUGCCAGUUACUACGCAAGAGCACUCUAAUAGGACUGCCGUUGACAAAACGGAGGAAGGUGGGGAUGACGUCAAAUCAUCAUGCCCUUUAUGACCUGGGCUACACACGUACUACAAUGGCGUUUAACAAAGAGAAGCAAGACCGCGAGGUGGAGCAAAACUCAAAAACAACGUCUCAGUUCAGAUUGCAGGCUGCAACUCGCCUGCAUGAAGUCGGAAUUGCUAGUAAUCGCGGAUCAGCAUGCCGCGGUGAAUACGUUCCC